AUGUAAAAGUAGUGCAUAGACUAAAAUUGGAAUGACACAGAGGUUAGCAUGGCCCUUGCACAGGGAUGACAUGCAAAUUCGUGAAACGUUCCGUAUUUUC
RNAcentral lists this small nuclear RNA (100 nucleotides) under Carlito syrichta (Philippine tarsier). Lineage: Eukaryota; Metazoa; Chordata; Mammalia; Primates; Tarsiidae. The record is from RNAcentral.